This 320-nucleotide ribosomal RNA is filed under the name uncultured Enterococcus sp. RNAcentral's name for it is "bacterial SSU rRNA". It matches the Rfam family "Bacterial small subunit ribosomal RNA", at positions 505 to 824 of the family's 1533-position model. Lineage: Bacteria; Bacillati; Bacillota; Bacilli; Lactobacillales; Enterococcaceae. The record is from RNAcentral.
GUGCCAGCAGCUGCGGUAAUACGUAGGUGGCAAGCGUUGUCCGGAUUUAUUGGGCGUAAAGCGAGCGCAGGCGGUUUCUUAAGUCUGAUGUGAAAGCCCCCGGCUCAACCGGGGAGGGUCAUUGGAAACUGGGAGACUUGAGUGCAGAAGAGGAGAGUGGAAUUCCAUGUGUAGCGGUGAAAUGCGUAGAUAUAUGGAGGAACACCAGUGGCGAAGGCGGCUCUCUGGUCUGUAACUGACGCUGAGGCUCGAAAGCGUGGGGAGCAAACAGGAUUAGAUACCCUGGUAGUCCACGCCGUAAACGAUGAGUGCUAAGUGUU